CAGUCGCCACGGUAAUACAGAGGGUGCGAGCGUUAAUCGGAUUUACUGGGCGUAAAGCGUGCGUAGGCGGCUUUUUAAGUCGGAUGUGAAAUCCCUGAGCUUAACUUAGGAAUUGCAUUCGAUACUGGGAAGCUAGAGUAUGGGAGAGGAUGGUAGAAUUCCAGGUGUAGCGGUGAAAUGCGUAGAGAUCUGGAGGAAUACCGAUGGCGAAGGCAGCCAUCUGGCCUAAUACUGACGCUGAGGUACGAAAGCAUGGGGAGCAAACAGGAUUAGAUACCUUAGUAGUCCCUGUCUCUUAUAC
Molecule: ribosomal RNA, 301 nt
Filed under: uncultured bacterium
Lineage: Bacteria
Description: partial 16S ribosomal RNA
Rfam family: Bacterial small subunit ribosomal RNA
Source: RNAcentral